UACAGAGGUGCCAAGCGUUGUUCGGAUUUAUUGGGCGUAAAGGGUGCGUAGGUGGCAUGGUAAGUCGGGUGUGAAAUCCCGGGGCUCAACCCCGGAACUGCACUCGAUACUGCCGUGCUCGAGUACUGGAGAGGAGACUGGAAUUUACGGUGUAGCAGUGAAAUGCGUAGAUAUCGUAAGGAAGACCGGUGGCGAAGGCUAGUCUCUGGACAGUUACUGACACUGAGGCACGAAGGCCAGGGGAGCAAACGGG
Molecule: ribosomal RNA, 253 nt
Filed under: uncultured bacterium
Lineage: Bacteria
Description: partial 16S ribosomal RNA
Rfam family: Bacterial small subunit ribosomal RNA
Source: RNAcentral